This 456-nucleotide ribosomal RNA is filed under the name uncultured bacterium. RNAcentral's name for it is "bacterial SSU rRNA". It matches the Rfam family "Bacterial small subunit ribosomal RNA", at positions 340 to 786 of the family's 1533-position model. The record is from RNAcentral.
UACGGAAGGCAGCAGUGGGGAAUAUUGCACAAUGGGCGAAAGCCUGAUGCAGCUAUGCCGCGUGUAUGAAGAAGGCCUUAGGGUUGUAAAGUACUUUCAUCGGGGAGGAAAAACAAAACUAAUAAUUUUAUUUCUUGACGUUACCCGAAAAAGAAGCACCGGCUAACUCCGUGCCAGCAGCCGCGGUAAUACGGAGGGUGCUAGCGUUAAUCAGAAUUACUGGGCGUAAAGAGCACGUAGGUGGUUUUUUUAAGUCAGAUGUGAAAUCCCUGGGCUUAACCUAGGAACUGCAUUUUGAAACUGAAAUACUAGAGUAUCGUAGAGGGAGGUAGAAUUCUAGGUGUAGCGGUGAAAUGCGUAGAUAUCUGGAGGAAUACCUGUGGCGAAAGCGGCCUCCUAAACGAAUACUGACACUGAGGGUGCGAAAGCGUGGGGAGCAAACGAGGAUUAGAUACC